UGCAUCUGAAGCCUGACGAAGAUGAGAACCUCCGGGGGCAAGAGGUUCGACUCGAGCGCAGCGAGAGAACGUUGCGUCAGCAACGGCCCGCAGGGCGAGCCACGCAGUGGCGAGUCAUCCUCUAUCACCGGCAG
This 134-nucleotide small RNA is filed under the name Salmonella enterica. RNAcentral describes it as "RtT sRNA". It matches the Rfam family "RtT RNA". From Rfam's summary of the family: This family represents a bacterial cis-regulatory element known as RtT RNA. The exact function of RtT is unknown although it is thought that it may be involved in changing the cellular response in relation to amino acid starvation. The record is from RNAcentral. Lineage: Bacteria; Pseudomonadati; Pseudomonadota; Gammaproteobacteria; Enterobacterales; Enterobacteriaceae. RNAcentral also lists the same sequence under 1 other name.